UGUCCGAUAGCUCAGCGGUAGAGCACCGCCCUCAUAAGGCGGCGUGCGGUGGUUCGAAUCCACCUCGGACAACCA
Molecule: transfer RNA, 75 nt
Filed under: Pseudomonadota bacterium
Lineage: Bacteria; Pseudomonadati; Pseudomonadota
Description: tRNA-Ile
Rfam family: tRNA
About the family: Transfer RNA (tRNA) molecules are approximately 80 nucleotides in length. Their secondary structure includes four short double-helical elements and three loops (D, anti-codon, and T loops).
Source: RNAcentral